Molecule: ribosomal RNA, 307 nt
Filed under: uncultured bacterium
Lineage: Bacteria
Description: bacterial SSU rRNA
Rfam family: Bacterial small subunit ribosomal RNA
Source: RNAcentral
GACGAACGCUAGCGGCAGGCUUAACACAUGCAAGUCGAGGGGUAACAUGAUCUUCGGAUUGAUGACGACCGGCGGACGGGUGAGUAACACGUAUACAACCUACCUAUCAGAGGUGGAUAGCCCUCGGAAACGGGGAUUAAUACAUCAUAUGAUCUUAGAGCGGCAUCGCUUGGAGAUGAAAACUCUGGUGCUGAUAGAUGGGUAUGCGUCCUAUUAGCUAGUUGGUAAGGUAAUGGCUUACCAAGGCAACGAUAGGUAGCUGGUCUGAGAGGAUGGCCAGUCACACUGGGACUGAGACACGGCCCAG